UCGUUAGCUCAGCUGGUAGAGCAGCGGACUCUUAAUCCGACGGUCGUAGGUUCGAUCCCUACACGG
RNAcentral lists this transfer RNA (66 nucleotides) under Noviherbaspirillum massiliense. It matches the Rfam family "tRNA", at positions 5 to 66 of the family's 71-position model. Rfam says of the family: Transfer RNA (tRNA) molecules are approximately 80 nucleotides in length. Lineage: Bacteria; Pseudomonadati; Pseudomonadota; Betaproteobacteria; Burkholderiales; Oxalobacteraceae. The record is from RNAcentral.